This 65-nucleotide transfer RNA is filed under the name Busonia albilateralis. RNAcentral describes it as "tRNA-Asp". The record is from RNAcentral. Lineage: Eukaryota; Metazoa; Arthropoda; Insecta; Hemiptera; Cicadellidae.
UGAAAGAAUUAGUUUAAAAAAAACAUAAAUUUGUCAAAUUUAAAAUAUGUAUUAUAUUCUUUUAU